Molecule: ribosomal RNA, 376 nt
Filed under: uncultured bacterium
Lineage: Bacteria
Description: bacterial SSU rRNA
Rfam family: Bacterial small subunit ribosomal RNA
Source: RNAcentral
UACGUAGGUGGCAAGCGUUGUCCGGAUUUACUGGGCGUAAAGGGAGCGUAGGCGGAUACUUAAGUGGGAUGUGAAAUACCUGGGCUUAACUUGGGUGCUGCAUUCCAAACUGGGUGUCUAGAGUGUUGGAGAGGAAAGUGGAAUUCCUAGUGUAGCGGUGAAAUGCGUAGAGAUUAGGAAGAACACCAGUGGCGAAGGCGACUUUCUGGACAAUAACUGACGCUGAGGCUCGAAAGCGUGGGGAGCAAACAGGAUUAGAUACCCUGGUAGUCCACGCCGUAAACGAUGGGUACUAGGUGUAGGAGGUACCGACUCCUCCUGUGCCGCCGUUAACACAAUAAGUACCCCGCCUGGGGAGUACGGUCGCAAGAUUAAA